CUUGCUUUCUUUGCCGGCGACCGGCGCACGGGUGAGUAACACGUAUCCAACCUGCCCUUUACUCGGGGAUAGCCUUUCGAAAGAAAGAUUAAUACCCGAUGGCAUAAUGAUUCCGCAUGGUUUCAUUAUUAAAGGAUUCCGGUAAAGGAUGGGGAUGCGUUCCAUUAGGUUGUUGGUGAGGUAACGGCCCACCAAGCCUUCGAUGGAUAGGGGUUCUGAGAGGAAGGUCUCCCACAUUGGAACUGAGACACGGUCCAAACUCCUACGGGAGGCAGCAUG
RNAcentral lists this ribosomal RNA (279 nucleotides) under uncultured bacterium. RNAcentral's name for it is "partial 16S ribosomal RNA". It matches the Rfam family "Bacterial small subunit ribosomal RNA", at positions 75 to 353 of the family's 1533-position model. The record is from RNAcentral.